Molecule: long non-coding RNA, 167 nt
Organism: Octopus sinensis (East Asian common octopus)
Lineage: Eukaryota; Metazoa; Mollusca; Cephalopoda; Octopoda; Octopodidae
Exons: 3
Source: RefSeq, a predicted model, not a curated record
UUUCAGUUUAACCCUUUAGCAUUUAGAUUGCUCUGUCAAAUGUAAUGCUUAUUUAGUCACAUUGAUAUGAAUUAGUUAAGCCUUACUUUGUAACUUUGAGAUUUCAGUGAUGUCAUUAUUUAUUUUUAGAAUGACAUUGUAGGUUAAAGUAUGGCAGUGAGCUGGCA